UUCGUCCCAGUCGAUUGUAGACAGCAGA
RNAcentral lists this small RNA (28 nucleotides) under Bombyx mori (domestic silkworm). RNAcentral describes it as "ovarian small RNA-37432". Lineage: Eukaryota; Metazoa; Arthropoda; Insecta; Lepidoptera; Bombycidae. The record is from RNAcentral.